Molecule: ribosomal RNA, 599 nt
Filed under: uncultured Thauera sp.
Lineage: Bacteria; Pseudomonadati; Pseudomonadota; Betaproteobacteria; Rhodocyclales; Zoogloeaceae
Description: bacterial SSU rRNA
Rfam family: Bacterial small subunit ribosomal RNA
Source: RNAcentral
GGAAUUGACGGGGACCCCCCCAAGCCGGGGAUGAUGUGGAUAAUUUGAUUCAACCGCGAAAAACCCUUACCUACCCCUGACAUGUCUGGAACCUUGGUGAGAGCCGAGGGUGCCUUCGGGAGCCAGAACACAGGUGCUGCAUGGCUGUCGUCAGCUCGUGUCGUGAGAUGUUGGGUUAAGUCCCGCAACGAGCGCAACCCUUGUCACUAGUUGCCAUCAUUUAGUUGGGCACUCUAGUGAGACUGCCGGUGACAAACCGGAGGAAGGUGGGGAUGACGUCAAGUCCUCAUGGCCCUUAUGGGUAGGGCUUCACACGUCAUACAAUGGUCGGUACAGAGGGUUGCCAAGCCGCGAGGUGGAGCCAAUCCCUUAAAGCCGAUCGUAGUCCGGAUCGUAGUCUGCAACUCGACUACGUGAAGUCGGAAUCGCAAGUAAUCGCAGAUCAGCAUGCUGCGGUGAAUACGUUCCCGGGUCUUGUACACACCGCCCGUCACACCAUGGGAGUGGGUUUCACCAGAAGUAGGUAGCUUAACCUUCGGGAGGGCGCUUACCACGGUGAGAUUCAUGACUGGGGUGAAGUCGUAACAAGGUAACCGUAA